Small nuclear RNA from Acomys russatus (golden spiny mouse), 103 nucleotides. The record is from RefSeq and is a predicted model, not a curated record. NCBI's taxonomy places the organism in Eukaryota, Metazoa, Chordata, Mammalia, Rodentia, Muridae.
UUGCUUCAGCAGCACAUAUACUAAAAUUGAAAUGUUACAGAGAAGAUUAGGUUGACCCCUACACAAGGAUGACAUGCAAAUUUGUGGAGCAUUCCAUAUUCUU